GAAACGGAGACCAGCCCAGUAUUUAAAUAAAGCGUCCGUAGUAAACCAGGGGAAUCACAGGAUGUCCUUUCUGAUAGAGUGUAGCUUCCUCUCAUAGAACAGCGCAUGGACGGCUCAGCUCUCCACUCACUGGUAAGUGGCUAUGACCAGCUGUGGCCAGCUCAGUCCCAAUGAGGACAAAGAGAACCACCUUCUGUAUGCUGGGGAGUGAGAGAUGGCUGUCCUCAGGGGAGACUGCUGAAAUUUGACCUCAAAGGUUUGGCAGCAAAAUGUAAAACGACUAAAAACGUAAGUUAUAAUCACAAAAUUUACUUAGUAGGCCUGGGGCAUCUGUGAAGUCCCAGUGAACUUCGCUUUAUUGUAGCGUUGGACUUGGAAACAGAUGUGAGCAUGGAAUUGGGUGUGAGUGGAUUCUGAGGCGAAGCAAGCUCACCCUCUCCAAACAGCACAUGCCGACCUCUUUCGUCUCCAGAGUCAACUAAAGGGAGUUUCCCCCAGGGGCUUAGAGCUAAACUGACAGCCAAACAACAACAGAGCUGCCACAUUAAGCCAAAGCUGGUCCUAUAGGCCUCUGGUUUGAACUACUCAAGAGCCUGCUGCAGGAGAGUCCCAAGUUCAAGGCCAACUCUGGCAACUUAGUGAGCUCUCGUCUACAAAACUGAAAAUAUCAAGCCUGAGUAUUUAUCCUAAAGUCGACAUCAGUGAACGAACAACACGAUUCACAAUGGCUAAAUGAUAGAGCCAACCUAGGCACUUAGCAGCAAAAGACUGGACAAAGGAAUCUAUACACACAAUGUGUCUAUAUACACAAUGGAAUUAUGUCCAGCCACAGAAAAGAAUGAAGCUACAUCGUUUGCGAGAAAAUGGAUGCAACUACAGAGAAUCGUGAUAAGUGAAUUAAGUCAGUCGUACACAAAAUCCGCUGAAACGUGCUUGAGCACUCUAGAAUGACCAGAUGAGAGUGGUAAGGAACGCAGCGGCGGCAGAGCCCAUUUCAGGAGGGCCACUAAGGCGGUGGCGGAGGAGCCCAUUGCGGUAGAGCCGCUAGGGCGGAGCGGAGGAGCCCAUUUCAGCAGAGCCACUUGAUUGUGACUCCUGUGGCACCGAGUGAAAACUCUGUAGUCAUCACGGAGGGCUCCUAAGAAAAGGCUGCCGCUGUUCCUACUCAGAGUUAACAGUGGGCAUACGAGAGCCUCCCAGAGAUGUCAAUGCCUCUGCCACCUCUGACAAAUUACCUCUCAGGGCUUUGCCCGGGCAGGCUGGCACUAAAUAAAGAACAAGGAAUUAAUGUCUUCCAAGUGAAGUAAAACAAAAUAAGAGGUGUUACAGACACUCAAGGCGCUCUCGGGAGAUGCACUGUCAUCUGGGCUCCUGUAACAGUAAGCACAGACCGGAACCCUCAAGAUCAAUUCUGUGCAGAAUUUUUUCCUCUUUUUUUUAAAAGUUGCUAUGUUGCCCAGGCUGGUCUCGAAUUCAAGAUCCCUAGUGCCAAGAUUACAGGGAACACUUCCACACACGGCCCCCUGUGCACAAUUAAAAUUUAGAUUUCCCCAAGUUCUGUCCCAUAGAAUGUUACAGAUGCCGGUGACUUAAGAAACAAUACUGUUGGCACUGAAGAUGCAGACUUUUGCCCAUGUGCACAUAUGUGCAGCUACAUGUUCCUAUGCAUGUGCACACAUGCAUACAAAUUAUUUUCCUUCUUAAAUCCCUCGCCUGCAUUCUUUUCUAUCCCAAAGUCAAGACCAACCUGAUGGUGUCAUGCUAGGGGCAGACACACGAGGAACGCUGGAUUUGAACCCUGUUUUCUUAACUAGCUAAGCACUGAGGGGCACUGACACUAAAAGCUGCCACCAACCCCUCCUCCUUCAGAAGGAAGGAAAGGCUUUUUAAGGACAUCUGUCUUGAUUCAAGUGAGCAAAAUCCUAAUUAAAAUGGAGUGAUCGGAUGGAAAAUAAAUACCGUGUCCUUUUUUGGGUAAUUUAUUGAGAAAUUAUUUUGCGCAGGUCUAUAAAAGUCUGCUCAGCCUUACUGAUUGUUUUCAUUAAAGUAAACAGUUUAUCUUUGGGGAUGCAAGUAACAAAAAUUUUGAUUCAUUAAACAAAAGUUGCAUAACAUGUACGCUUUCAUUGCAUAUGUAAUUGGGGGUUUCCACUUGGGAAGAAUUUUCUCAAAAUAGUAAUAAAUACAAAGGGCCAAAGAUACUAAGAUAAGCAAUCAGACUCAAGAUAAGCAGGGCAGGAAGCUCAAAGACCACUAGUGGGGUGUGCAUGCAGUGCUGUUUGAGGCAGGCAUCUAAACAGUGCAUGUGAUACGGCUGGAUAUAAUAUUACCAGGUCAGGAUCAGUAUUACAUAAUCACACAGCUAAAAGACAGCCCGAAACCACCGCCUUCUUUUUCCAUGUUGAGACAGGGGCUCACAGAGGGUAGGCCAGCCUUUAACUCCUGAUCCUCCUAUUUUCUAUAGUUUGAGUGCUGGGAUUACAGGCAUGUGCCACCACAUCCAGGUUUUAAGUAUUCUAACAUAAUUCAUCAUGUAAAACAUGAUUCUUCAAAAAGGAAGUGGUUGCGAAUCUAUUUGUCCUUGAAAGCGAAAUGAGCACAAUUUAAGACAGGCUCAGACGAGUCAGGUAAAUCUUCAGGUCACUUCUGGAACCUCAGUCAGGAUGAGGGACUCUGGGAUCAGCCUGAGCAGCUGCCUGGGCCACACCUAUCGCCCUGCAUCCCUCACACUGAUGGACCAGGUAGUCUGUUCGAGCUUCUGAGGAUCGAGACAGUGCAAGGGCUCUCUCUACAUUAGCCCCUGAAUCAAACUGCUGGCUAGGAAGGUGACCCCAGGGUCUGCCCCUUCAUGAGGUAAGCUACGCUCACUGCUUCUCCACCAGGAGAGGCGCAUCUCCCUUGUCCUGAUCGCUGCUGAGUAGAAGUCUUGAGUUUUCUCAUGGCAAAUUGAGGAUAUUUUUUCUUACUUUGAGUCACUCAGGAAAUGCAAACCACUCACUACUCCUAGCUGACUGAGCAAGAUACUGACAACAAAGAAAUCUGGAUGAGACCGAGGAUGAGCGGUUCCAACCUGUAACUUCGCUAGCCCUUGAGAUCUUGAAGAGGCAUCCAGCACGGACAACAGCCAGAGAAGACAAUCAAACAUUUAUAGAAUUUCCCCAUCCAAAUGGAAUGUUUAUAUCACUCAGUAGCUGCCUCUCCUGGAAUCUGAGAGAUUAUUUGUUUCACCUACACAUGGUCCCUAAGAACAGAAAAGAUGCUGCAUCCGAAAAGCGAACCUGAAUCUAGAGGGUGAGCUCAUUCAGCGGCUCUGUUGACUUCCUGCACCACAAAUGGACACCACAGCGCAGGCCAGCCUCCCCCGGAAGUCAGAAGCAUCCACAUCCCUUUCAUAGAGGCUCUGAGGAAGGCCCCCCAAAAGAAGUCUCAAAGUUGAGUGCCUAGUGCAGCAUUAAGUAGCCUCCUGGGUUUUAUGAGCCCUAAGUCAAAUACUAAACACAAAAUCAGUGUAUUUGUAAACCGCUCCUUUGACACUAAUCUAUUAGAUUACAGAUAGAAAAUGGAGGCAGGUGAGGCUAGACCUCUCGUGUGUGUAACUGGUGUUCUUGCAGGGGUAUCAUCUGAAAUCUACACCCUGUAACAGCUUCUACCGACUGGAACACAAUGUCACAAUCCUAUAUUUUCUAGUUCGAUACACAGGAUAUUUUUCUAUGCUCCUAAACAAGAGUUCACUUAAAAACAAAACAAAACAGGCUGGAUGUUCUAGGUGACUAUUUGAGGCUUAUUAGCUCGCUUUUGCUUUUCUUUACAGUUCACUUCCUGGGGCCAAGUCAUUUUUUUCCUUAAAGUAUUCAGACACACGAGUUGCAAGCUGGAAAACCAAUUCUGAGAUAGUCCUCUCUAUAUGCUCCCUCUCAAAAGCCUGGAGUAUGCAAACAAAGAUGCUGUGGGCAGGAGGCCAGUUAAUAAAUCUCAUUUCCGACCGGCAUCUGCGUAGAACAGAGUUGCAGGGAGUAGCCUCUCCAGGGAGGUCCAGGCCACGACUCAUUUGCUCUUUGAAUUUAAGACUGUCACCUUGGAUGGCCCUCACCACAUUUAUUUUUUAAGCAGCUCUUAAAAUAUCUGGGCUCCUAACUGCAGUGGGGAGGCUGGGGUUGGAGGCGCUCUGUUGUGCAGUGGGUAUAGAAAAGUGUUCGGAUGGCUUUACUGGGUCAUUCUGAUACCUGACUGCUUUCAGUGCAAUUUGUAACACAGACGUGAUUUUUUUUUUUUUU
Molecule: non-coding RNA, 4274 nt
Organism: Myodes glareolus (Bank vole)
Lineage: Eukaryota; Metazoa; Chordata; Mammalia; Rodentia; Cricetidae
Source: RefSeq, a predicted model, not a curated record